AGCUGCAAUCAUUCGCACUAUGAUGAACUUCAUCUUGACAACAGCUUUAAUUAUCUGCAGCAUCAGCUGGAUCUCUGUCUCAGUUUCUGAGUCUCAGACUGUGAAGGUCCAGCCUGGUCAAGAAGUCACACUGUCGACUACCAACAUUUCCAGAAAUCAAGCCAUGACAACCUGGUUCAGAGUGGUCAACAGAACCAAGGCCAGCUGUAUCUCCGUUAUGGCCGCCUCUGGCAGCAAUCCUAAAUACUGUGAUGGAUUUAAAAAUGGAAUAUUUGAAAUGAGCUCCAACACCUCCACUGUCUUUCUCAAAAUUAAGACAGUGAAUCUUUCUGAUUCUGGGCUGUAUUUGUGUGGAUUUUUCAUAGAGGGACAGACAAUUUUAAGUGUGAUACAUUUAAAUGUUUAAGGUAAGAUUAUGAAAUCCUGUGAUAUCUGUUCUUCUGUGUUAUUUUUUUAUUUUGUAAAAUUAAUAACUGACCUAAAACACAUAUAUGGCUACUUAAUUAAUGUCAAAACAAACAUAAUAAAACCAUUUAAAAGUAAAAUCUAGAUUAAAUAUAUCUUCAUUUUGUUAAAAGGCAGUGAUGAAUCUCAUGAUGACGUUGACAGAAAGUCUACAACAGAGAGUGAUAGAAUAGCAAACCUGAUGAGUGUGAUCCUGGGCGGCCUGACUGUUUUCCUCAUAAUGGUCAUCAUCUGUCUGGUUGUUAAAAACAGGAAACUUCAAAAAGCUGCCAACAAAGAACAGAAUCCACAACAGCAUGAGAAUCUGGACUCUGAUGACCUGAAAGCACUGAGUUUGUAUUCAACAACAAUAAGAAACAGGAGGCCUGCAUCAGAGAGAGAAGUGGAAACUCAUGUUGUUUAUGCUGCCAGCAGAUAGAAUAAUGCUAUUAAUCAUAUUCAUCAAUUGCUGUUAUGUUAUGUGUGUGUGUGGGGGGGGGGGGGGGGACCAUCUUCUUAAAUGUACAAAUAAUCAAAUUAAUCAACGUGAUCCUUUAGUCUCAUGAAUCUCUCACUCUCUGUCUUUCUAACUCUAGAGAGACUGUCCACAAAGACAAUAGAUAGAUGGAGGUCUGCAGAUGGAGGAGUGAGAGAGGCACGCAUCAUUUGUUUAACAGGAAGAGACAGCAGAGUGGUCUGAGCACAGCUGAGCUGAAAAUCAUGAGGUCACACAUCUGAAUCUGAAUCAAGUCGGACAUGAAGCAGUGAAUACUGGCUGACUUUCCUCUGUCAAGUAGAUGUAGUGGGGAAAGAUUCCCCAGGUGCAGGUUAAGGUGUGGUGGUGUUGAAUGCAGCCUUGACUUAACUCCUCCCCUGGCCAACCUCCUUAUUAGGCUUAGGCUAUAUAAGACACCUGUGUUCCCUUUCUCUCUCUCUGCUUCUUGAUCUGUCCCUGUUGUGGUUGUGGCCCAGCUAUGUGAAAGGAAUAGUUUCAUGCAUGUUUGUUUUCCCUUAACAGUUUAUGUUGCUUACCUGCACUUUGACCUGUUAGGAACCUCCUUUUCUCCUG
Molecule: RNA transcript, 1513 nt
Organism: Micropterus salmoides (largemouth bass)
Lineage: Eukaryota; Metazoa; Chordata; Actinopteri; Centrarchiformes; Centrarchidae
Exons: 5
Source: RefSeq, a predicted model, not a curated record